RNAcentral lists this long non-coding RNA (1048 nucleotides) under Brachypodium distachyon (stiff brome). RNAcentral's name for it is "long non-coding RNA (BDIS_LNC003302)". Lineage: Eukaryota; Viridiplantae; Streptophyta; Magnoliopsida; Poales; Poaceae. The record is from RNAcentral.
CAAUACUGAGAAAACUGUUUUGUUUAAAAUGAUAGGAUUAAACAAUGAGGCUUUUAUGAAAAAUAGCCAACAACCCCCCCCCCCUAUCCAAAAUGUGCAUGUACUUGGUAGGUUCUGUUAUAACAUUGUAGUGAGAUUGCCAAUACAUUCAAUGUAUUGACCCCCUAGUGGCUGCAACGUUUAAUGUUGCAAGUGUUACCGGUGAAGAAUGAGGUACGAUUUGUAGGGUGUAACAUCCCAAAAUUUCAAACUUUUACAUGUGCAUUGCAUCCAUAAGCAUCAUGCCACAAUUGCAUGUUUGAAUUCAAAUUCGAAUCUCAGAAAGGCUUUAAAAGUUUUUAUUUCAAUUUAAACCUUAGGAUUUACACCCAUUUGAGCUUUGGAUCUUCAAACCAAUAGGGUUUAUUUAUAAAAGGGAUUUAAUGCAUAUAUAAGCUAUCCCAUAAUUUUUGGACAAUUAUUUGGAGUUGAAAAAGUAUUUUAUUUAAAUAGUUAUAUAGCUCUAAAGGCAUUUAUAGGACAAAUGUAUUUUUAUGUAUUUUAUUUUGAGGGGAAAUUACUCCCAAAAGUUGAAUCAUGGUAAAACAUGAUUUUACAAAUUUCCUGGAAUUCAUUUGGACCAAUUUGGAGUUCAAAAUCAAAAGAUAUCAAAGAAUUCAGAAAAACAGAAAAAGAAAAGGGCUAAAAGAAAAAAAAAGGAAAACCGGACCGGCCCGGCCAAAUUGGGCCGAACCGGCCCAGUUCCGCGCGCUCGAGCCGAACUGACAGGCUCGGUCCGCGCGCGCGCCCGCAUCGAGCCGCUGACAGGCGGGGCCCGCCUGUCAAGGUCGUCUUCCUCGUAAGGAAGGCGCUCGCGUUUGCCGCGCCGCUUGCCGUUUUCGCCGCCGCGCGCUCACCGCCGGAAACUCCGCGCUCCGUCCCUAUCUCGCCGCCCCGAGUGCCUCCAUUUAAACCCCACGACCUGCUCUUCUUUUCCCCUCUGACUGCCCUCGCUAUCACGCCGCCAGGCCGCCCUAAUUCCACGCUGAAGAGCUCCGCCGCCGCCGCC